This 506-nucleotide ribosomal RNA is filed under the name uncultured bacterium. Its description in RNAcentral is "partial 16S ribosomal RNA". It matches the Rfam family "Bacterial small subunit ribosomal RNA", at positions 29 to 523 of the family's 1533-position model. The record is from RNAcentral.
AGUGAACGCUGGCGGUAGGCCUAACACAUGCAAGUCGAACGGCAGCACAGGAGAGCUUGCUCUCUGGGUGGCGAGUGGCGGACGGGUGAGGAAUACAUCGGAAUCUACUUUUUCGUGGGGGAUAACGUAGGGAAACUUACGCUAAUACCGCAUACGACCUACGGGUGAAAGCAGGGGACCUUCGGGCCUUGCGCGAUUGAAUGAGCCGGUGUCGGAUUAGCUAGUUGGCGGGGUAAAGGCCCACCAAGGCGACGAUCCGUAGCUGGUCUGAGAGGAUGAUCAGCCACACUGGAACUGAGACACGGUCCAGACUCCUACGGGAGGCAGCAGUGGGGAAUAUUGGACAAUGGGCGCAAGCCUGAUCCAGCCAUACCGCGUGGGUGAAGAAGGCCUUCGGGUUGUAAAGCCCUUUUGUUGGGAAAGAAAUCCAUCUGGUUAAUACCCGGGUGGGAUGACGGUACCCAAAGAAUAAGCACCGGCUAACUUCGUGCCAGCCGCCGCAGUAA